GGAAUGGGGGUAAGAGUGGAGACUGGGACUAAGGACUGGAGCCAGGGCUGAGGCCGGGGCUGGGACUAGGACUAGGGCUGGGAGUAGGGCUGGUACUGGGACUGGAGCUGCUGCUGCCCAGGCCUCCCCCAGGGCUGAGCCAAGGUGGGAAGGGGUCGGGAGGACUCUGAUGGGAAAGGAGCCAAUUGGAAACAGUGGGAUAAACCGGAGGAAUUGACAUCAGUCAGAAAGAGGGAAUUUUGUAAUGGGAAAUGAGACUGUCCAUGUGAAAGGAAGGAAUCAGAUGGUAAAUACAGUGUGGGAGCAGCAGCAUGGAAGAAAUUGGUUUGUAACACAUCAUAAACUGAUCAGGAGUCCAAAAUAUGAUGUUCUGGGGAAAAAAGGUAUCUCUAAAGGUGUGUUGGUGGAAGUGUCUCAUAUAAGACACAGGGAAGAGCAGACACAGGAAGGGAGCAGGGAGCAUUGUUACAAAUGGAUCAAUAGGAACCAGCCAAGUGUUAAUUAGAGGUUCCUCUUUAUCACAAGAGCAGGGCCCUGGCAAUGAAAAGGAAAAAAAUCCACAACCCCUCCUCCAAAGCUCCUGUAUGAUCAAAAGGGUGUGGAGAAUGCUGAAUGAACUAUUACCAUUACUGCCUUAUGUGCAGAGGAUGCUUCAUGCUGCCAACACCUGUCCUUACCUGGCUGUGCUGGGCAGACCCUGUGAGCAGCACCAGCUCAUAAGUGACCUGGAUCAUGGACUUGGAGUGAGUUUGAUUUGAGAACGAGGAUACAGGACCAGUGAUGGGGAGGUUGGACACAGUACAGAGAAGAACACUUCCUGCUGCCUUCCUUCUCCAGCUCCAUAGCCCAAGCUCAGCUGAACCCAGGACAGGCUCUCCAGGCUGGAAGCCACAGUGCACCAAGGCAGACUGUGCUUCAUGAUACCAUGGAAAGAUGAAAGCACGGGUCAAAUGCAGACUCUGGAUCUGCAUUUAGCACUCAAAAGCUCCUCUGCUUUAAUCCCAGCUCCAGCAGUCCUUCCCUGUGUGGUCUUAUGGGUCCAUUUAACGCUUUUGUCUCAGUUUCUUCCAUCUCUAAUCCAGAGACAGUAUUCACAAGAAGGUGUAAGUCUUGAGUAGCAGUUCUAAAAGGGGAGUUGCCAGGUAUGUUGCUGUGGAUCUGUGAACUCAAACAUACCAAAGACAGGUAUUUCUUACAUAAAUCCAAAAUACACAUGUCACUGUAACAUGCUCAGUUCUGGAUUACUUCUGCCUAUAGGAGACAGAAUCAUGGAAUCAUUUAUGUUGACUAAGACCCUUAAGAUCACUAAGCCCGAACAUUAACACAGCACUGCCAAGGCCACCAACAAAACAUGUCCUGAAGUGCCUCAUUUACACAGCUUUUAAAUCCCUCCAGGACUGGUGACUCCACCACUGCCAUGGGCAGCUGUUAGGUUGGAUGUUUUCCCAAUAUCCAACAUAACCCUCCCCUGGCACGACUGGAGGCUGUUUCCUCACAUCCUGUCCCUUGUUCCCUGGGAGCAGAGCCUGAUCCCCACCUGGCUCCACCCUCCUGUCAGGGAGUUGUAGAGAGGGAGAAGGUCCCCCCCAAGCCUCCUUUUCUUUGCUCCCUCAGCUGCUCCCCAUCAGAUUUGUGCUCCAGACCCUUCCCCAGCUCUGUUGCCAUCCUCUGGACAUGCUCCAGCCCCUCAAUGUCUUUCUUGGAGCAAGUGGCCCAAAACUGACCCCAGGAUCUGAGGCGCAGUUGAAUAGGUCCAAACAUGUGCUGCUGUGUACAACUGACUCCCUGAGUAUUUAGAGGUUUUUUUUGAUUUAUGGAAAAAUUCCCUGUUCCCCGUGUUUUUGCAAGACUCUUUUCUGCUUUGUUUUUUUUUCCCUAGAUCACGGAUUGCUCUGGAUGGGGCCAUUUUUUACCUUGCUGCCUUUGUUUAACUAGUGUUUGGUUUGCUGCUGUUGUGGCUUGUACUUGGAUUUUUAGGUACUACCUUACCUGUUAUUAAUGAUAGAAAAAUUUCCAUAUUUAAGUGAUGACAAUUUGAUUAACCUUAAACUAUGUUUUGUUUGCUGGGACUACAAAAGCAUUUUCCAGUUGGUACUGUGGCCAAUUCUUUGAUUACAUUAUAUCCAAGAUGAUCUUAUUUCUCUUCUAUGAAAGUAAUCAAUGAACUUCAAAGAAUCACAGAAAUGUUUGCGUGGAAGGGUCCUCACAGACCAUCUCCACACUAGACCAGGUUACUCCAAGCCCUGACCAAACCAGCCUUGAACACUUCUUUAUUCUUCUAUUUCUCUCCACAUGCUAACUCAACAGAUUUAUCUAUAAAUUCUGAUGAAAGGACCAUUUAAAUCCAUAUAAAGCUAUGUUAAUUGGACUGUUAACAAAAUGAAUUGUGCAAUUGUGACUUUUUCCCAAGAAAUAGAUUGAGAUCUGAAUUACACUAUUGUAUCACUUUAAAUGAGAAGCUCUUUGAACACAGUGUGUUUUUCAUCACUACAUCUGGCACGGUGUCUGAGAGACCAGUUGGGUUUAUCUGAUUUAGUUCCUACUGCACGUGUGCAGGGGAAGUGGCUGCAUGUGAGCACUAGCACAGGGGUUUAGCAGAUAUUUUUCAUUUCUAGGUAUUUAAUAAGCAGGUUGGAGAUUCGGAUUAAUCAUCUCUUUCCCAUGUUUAGAGGACAAUAUGCGUCACCAGGAACAUUCCAUUGGACGUUGUUAGAGCAGGAAAUUUGAUUUAUAAUACAUGAGUAGAAGUGGAAGUGGGUGCCUCGCUUCACCUGUGACCAAGAUGUUCCACCUUAUCUUCUAUCAAAGCAGCUUUAUCCUCAUGCCUGAUAAGAACCUGGGAUGAAAUUCUGGGUGACUGAACCAUUAAAUUUUCCUCUGAACAUCACAAUCACAUAUAACUUUGAGGCAUAUCCCUUUAUUUGUCACACUGCUUACACAACUGUUUGUUGUAGCCUUGCCCAACUGAAAUGCAGAGACAUGUUAUACACCUUGACCUGUUCAGUUUGCCUAAUAAAAUCUAAUGUUUGGGACUCCAGUGAGGGAAAACAGUUAAAGGCCUCCAGAAAGAUGCAAAUAACUCUUUACUGUUAUAAAGUAUUAUUUGACUACAAAACCAGACCUGUUAAAUUUUCUUGGUUUAGUCCAAUCCCAGCUGUGUUGCAAAAUGCAGGUUCCAAUGGUGCUGUAACACUGGUAUAUGUUUUUUAUUUAAGUUUUUCAACCUUUAGUAACAACACCAAAUUUGAAAACCUCUUUCUGAUUUUAAGCUUUCAAUUUAAGUGGUUGUUUGGUCUCCUCCUUUUACCAUUCAAACUGAAAAUAUACACUUAGAGUGAAUGGUCUGUAUAGUUCUCUUGGCCUCUCUUUGGCUACUUAAAAAAAAUAAAAUUGGCAAUUAUUUUUAAAAGUACUGUACAAAAUAUGAAUUGAUUCUUCAGCAAAAGCCUAUAACAGUAAAUGCACUGUAAAAUGCAUAUGUUCCAAAACCUAAACACCUAAGUUGUGGAAAGAAAUAAUCCUUCAGAGAUAUUUCAUUUGAAUAUUUCUGAUCGUAAGGUGAUUGAACAGUUAUUUUGCCUAUAAUAAAAUCUUUUAUAGGGAUUGAUUUUUUUUUUAAUUUAUUUUUUAAAGACAGUAGCAGCUUGUCUGAUUAAUGAAUCUCUUUUUCUCUUUUGCCUGUGCUUAUUUCUUCCAGUGAUGCAAAUCACUUUCCCAGCUUGUAAGCUGUUUUUAUUUCUAAUGAGAAGCUUUUGAAUUUGAGAUGUAUGUAAAUAAUGUAAUUUAAUUGCUUUUUCCUUGAUAAGAAUACCCAAGUAUGUCCUUGAGGUUUAGGCUGGAUAUCACAACAAAGUUUUUCACCAGAGGGUGGUUGAAAGGCUUCCCAGGGAAGUGGUUACAGCACCAAUUCUGCCUGAGUUCAAGAAGUGUUUAGGCAAGGCUCUCAGGCACAUGGUGGGAUUCUUGGAGUGUCCUGUGUAGGGCCAGGAAUUGGACUUGAUGAUCCUUGUGAGUCCCUUCCAACUCAGCAUAUUCCAUGAUUCUAUGAUUCAGAAUCUCUCAAGCAACAGCCUCACAAGUAGGUUAUUCACAGGCUUAUUUUGUGAAAGGGCAUUGAGACAAAUAACUGUGGAAUGAAAUGCCCUUGUCAUGGCAGGGAGAGCUGGGGGAUGCUGAUAAAUGGGUGUUUUGGAGCAGUGCUUCCCAUCUCCACCUCAGUGUGUAAAUGUAUUACAGAAAUGAUUAUCACAUGCAUCCAUGUGCCUUCUGUGACAUCUGCUGAAGGUGCUGGAGGCUGCCAAGGAUGCUGAGUCCUGAGUCCUGGAAGCUGCCACCUGUAGCUAGGUGUGUGCUGCUGCUUUGGGAAAUCUAUUAAUGAAGUUUGGUGAUUGUGCUCGAUUUUUUUUAGGAUUUGAAAUGGCCAGUUUGGCCCUCUAGCUAUCUGUUACUUCAUCCCUGACUGAACUGGUCCUUCCUUGUCUGCUUUCUCUGUAGUGACUAUAGCUGCCUGAUCUUGGAAAUAUAAUUAAUUAAAUUGAAACAACUAACAUGUAUGGAGCAAAGAAGUGCCCUAAUUUUCAUUGAUACUGGGAAAAGACUUGCAAGUAUGAAGGUGUUUGGAGGUUUUGCAUUAAUAAUUGGGUUCCAAAAUUAGGUUCUAAUACUCUUCUGGCUGAAAGCUGCCCCUCGCUCCAAAGAGUCCUUCUAGAUCGGGCCUCAAAUUGAAAAACACCCGAUUUAGAUGAUGUUUCGUAUGUUUUUGUGGGAUAGUGGAGAGUCGGAGAGAUGGCGAGAUGGAGAGUCUGAGCCCGGCCCGGCUCCUCUGCCGCACCGCGGGCCAGGGCCACUGCGGCUGAGCUGCCCUGUGACAGCGGGAGGGAAAAAUAGGGGGAAACCGACUAAUUUGUGACCUUCUGACCAUUCACUUUGAAGACCUCUCCAGUCUGUAGCUUGCUAACAUA
This is a long non-coding RNA of Pseudopipra pipra, 4961 nucleotides long. RefSeq lists it as uncharacterized. The record is from RefSeq and is a predicted model, not a curated record. Lineage: Eukaryota; Metazoa; Chordata; Aves; Passeriformes; Pipridae. The transcript is spliced from 5 exons.